UGAUCAUGGCUCAGGUGACGCUGGCGGAUGCUUUACACAUGCAUCGAACGGCAGCACGGACUUCGGUCUGGUGGCGAGUGGCGAACAGGUGGUAAUGUCCGGAACGUGCCUAGUAGCGGGGGAUAACUGCGGCGUAGCUAAUACCGCAUACGCCCUUCGGGGGAAAGCGGGGGACCUUCCGGGCCUCGCACUAUUAGAGCGGCCGAUAUCGGAUUAGCUAGUUGGUGGGGGUAACGGCUCACCAGGCGACGAUCCGUAGCUGGUUUGAGUGGACGACCAGCCACACUGGGACUGAGACACGGCCCCAGACUCCUACAGGAGGCAGCAGUGGGGAAUUUUGGACAAUGGGGGAAACCCUGAUCCAGCCAUCCCGCGUGUGCGAUGAAGGCCUUCAGGUUUGUAAAACCCUUUUUGGCAGGAGAAACGGCACGGAUAAUACCCCGUGCAACUGACGUACCUGCAGAAUAAGCACCGGCUAACUACGUGCCAGCAGCCGCGGGCAAUACGUAGGGUGCAAGCGUUAAUCGGAAUUACUGGGCGUAAAGCGUGCCGCGAGCGGUUCCGGAAAAGAAAGAUGCUUGAAAUCCCAGAGCUUAACUUUGGAACUGCAUUUUAACCACCGAGCUAGAGUGUUGUCAGAGGGAGGUGGAAUUCCGCGUGUAGCAGUGAAAUGCGUAGAUAUGCGGAGGAACACCGAUGGCGAAGGCAGCCUCUGGGAUAACACUGACGCUCAUGCACGAAAGCGUGGGGAGCAAACAGGAUUCCAGAUACCCUGAGUGAUCCACGCCCUAAACGACAACUAGCUGUUGGGCCUUCGGGCCUUGGUAGCGCAACUAACGCGUGAAGUUGACCGCCUGGGAAGUACGGUCGCAAGAUUUAAAGAACUCAAAGGAAUUGACGGGGACCACAAGCGGUGGAUGAUGUGGAUUAAUUCGAUGCAACGCGAAAAACCUUACCUACGCUUGACAUGUCUGGAAUCCCGAAGAGAUUUGGAGUGCUCGCAAGAGAACCGGAACACAGGUGCUGCAGGGCUGUCGUCAGCUCGUGUCGUGAGGUGUGUUGGGUUAAGUCCCGCAACGAGCGCAGCCACUUGUCAUUAGUUGCUACGAAAGGGCACUCUAAUGAGACUGCCGGUAGUCAAACCGGAGGAAGGUGAGGAUGACGUCAAGUCCUCAUGGCCCUUCUGGGGUGGGAACUUCACACGUCCGCUACAAUGGUCGGGACAGAGGGUCGUAACCCGCGAGAGGCCAAAUCCCAGAAACCCGAUCGUAGUCCGGAUCGCAGUCUGCAACUCGCGCGACUGCGGCCAGUCGAAUCUCGCUAGUAAUCGCGGAUCAGCAUGUCGCGGUGAAUACGUUCCCGGGUCUUGUACACACUGCCCGUCUGCACACCAUGGGAGUGGGUUUGCAGUAGUUGGCCUAACCGUGGAGGUUACCACGGUAGGAUUCAUGACUGGGGUGAAGUCGUAACAAAGGUAA
Molecule: ribosomal RNA, 1478 nt
Filed under: uncultured Bordetella sp.
Lineage: Bacteria; Pseudomonadati; Pseudomonadota; Betaproteobacteria; Burkholderiales; Alcaligenaceae
Description: partial 16S-23S ribosomal RNA intergenic spacer
Rfam family: Bacterial small subunit ribosomal RNA
Source: RNAcentral